GAUGAAGAACGUAGCGAAAUGCGAUAAGUAAUGCGAAUUGCAGAAUUCCGUGAGUCAUCGAAUCUUUGAACGCACAUUGCGCCCCCCGGUAUUCCGGGGGGCAUGCCUGUUCGAGCGUCAUUGUCAACCCUCAAGCUCGGCUUGCUGUUGGGUCCCCGUCGUUGCUCCAACGGCGGACCCGAAAGACAAUGGCAGAGUCUGCGGGACCCUGGAUGCAGCGAGCUUCUGGCACGCGUCUGGACGGUCUCUGGGCUUGGCCUCCACCAAUCGUCAACCUGUGAUUGACCUCGGAUCAGGUAGGGAUACCCGCUGAACUUAAGCAUAUCAUAAGCGGAGGA
RNAcentral lists this unclassified non-coding RNA (338 nucleotides) under soil metagenome. Its description in RNAcentral is "partial contains 5.8S ribosomal RNA, internal transcribed spacer 2, and large subunit ribosomal RNA". The stretch from base 1 to 120 matches the Rfam family "5.8S ribosomal RNA", at positions 35 to 154 of the family's 154-position model. The record is from RNAcentral.